RNA transcript from Penaeus chinensis, 1161 nucleotides. It is a transcript of the gene named organic cation transporter protein-like, with no coding region annotated. The record is from RefSeq and is a predicted model, not a curated record. The transcript has 10 exons. NCBI's taxonomy places the organism in Eukaryota, Metazoa, Arthropoda, Malacostraca, Decapoda, Penaeidae.
GUUAAGAUCAGCUGUUUGUUGACUGUGUUUGUGAAGUGCAUUUAAAAAUGGUCGUCUGAUUUUUGGUCUGGUAAUGGUAUGGAAUAUGAGGGGAUAUAAGGAUGCCAAAGGGAAAAUAUAGGUAAAAAAGACGCGCAGGAGGACCCGGCAGCCGGCGAGAUGUCCAAAUUCGACGAGUUACUGAUACUCCUCGGGACCGGGAGGUGGAAUCUGAUCGCUUUCUGCGCUGCGGGUUACUGGAUGAUCCAAGUCCCCGGCCACAGCGUGGGCGGCGCUUUCCUGACGCCCGAAGUGGAUCACACUUGUCGUCUGCCUCAAGAGGCCACGAAUGUAUCGGAAGUGUCACAGUGCAAAUACAACGUGACAACCUCUCUGGGGACUUACGAGGAACGACCCUGUACGCGAUGGGAUUUUGACAACACGACCUACACCAAGACCCUUACAUCAGAGUUCCAGCUGGUGUGCGAGUACAGAUUCCUUCGACCUGCCUUCAAGAGUCUCUACUUCUUCGGUGCCUUCUUCGGAGCCCCUAUGAAUGGAUGGCUGUCCGAUAGAUACGGGAGGAAGACGAUGGUCGUGAUAGGGACAGUCAGCUAUACGAUCAUUACCAACACUCUCUCCUGGCUACCUAAUGUCUCUGCCAUACUGUUGGCCCGUUUCUGUAUGGGACUCAUGCAUCCGACGGCCAUACAUUCCAUUUUCAGUCUGGCCAUGGAAGUCUGCGUCCCUCGCUAUCGGUCCUUCGUAGGGUAUCUUAGUAUUUCUGCCCUGGGCUUUAUCUAUCAUUGCCUUGGGAGGUGUCGGGUACCUGCUAAGGGACUGGAGGUGGUUCAUGUUCACAGUCACUCUGCCGAGUGUGCUCUCCUUGCCUGCGCUGUGGUUUAUCGACGAAUCACCUCGUUGGCUGAUCGUGAAAGGUCGCCACCAGGAGGCUCUGCGCGUCCUCCGAAGGGCCGCGAAAUGGAACAAGGUCAAAUUACCAAGAGAAGAGGAACUGUUAAAGGUCAUGAUGGAAAUACAAAAUGAGCAAGGAGAUGGACAGCAUCAAGCUCGAGCGAAUUCAUCGACAUUUUCAGAUCUCCUCAGAGGUGUUGCCAAUGAACUUGUUAUUCUUUUCAGAACCCGAAGAAUACGGACCUUAACCCUAUACUUAUACGUGAA